CUCGCGCGCCUCCUCGCCGCCGGGCGCUCCCCCCUCCAGAGCGCGCCUCCUCGCCGCCGGGCGCCACCCCCUUCCCCGCGCGCCUCCUCGCCGCCGGGCGCCGCCCCCUCCAGAGCGCUCCUCCUCGCCGCCGGGCGCCGCCCCCUCCAGAGCGCGCCUCCUCGCCGCCGGGCGCCGCUCCUCCUGCGCGCGCCUCCUCGCCAUCGGGCACCGCCCCCUCCUCGCGCGCCUUUUCUCCGCCAGACGCCGACCCCACCCUGCUGUCGGGCGUCAGCCGUCGGGAUCCAGCGCCCAACACCACCGUCUCCAUGUGUUGUCCUGCUGUUUCGCGCGGGAGGUGUUGGCCUCCUGCACCCGCCGGAUCCGGCCAUCCCCUUCCGUUCACCUCCGCCGCCCGAGGCCGUUCACCACCGCCACCAGUUCCCGUCCAACACCGGCCCCUCAAUCCGCGCGUCAACGACGCCCCUGUCAACCCACGCGAAGCUUCAAAAGAGGAGGCCCGCUUGCCCGCCUCAUGGCCCAUAAGUGGGCUGGAACCAAUGCUUCGCUGAAGCAAUUUCACGGGCCCAGGCGCAAAAUUAGCACCCCCGGGAAGCCCAGCCACGGAGUUGGAGGAGAUAAAGCAGGGGAUUGUUGAUGUGCCUCCCUGAUUGUUGCUCUCCUGUUGCUGGUGCCGAGCUCAGGGGGGUGGUCGCCGGCGGCGCCAUUCUCGACCCAGCUUCCGCCCUGCACGCAGCCAGCCUUGGAGACCACCCGCCACCACGGCCGUCGUGGCCCACCCCCUACAUCGACGGUGCUCAAGCGGCUCUUCUCACUGGCUCCUGCGACUCCCUCCUUCGCCAUGGAUACAACCAUCAUUGCAGGUGUGGAGAACCAAAAAGUUCUAAUAAUGGUGAAUCAGAAGUUCAAGUACAGUAAUCCGAGGGCGUGGGGGCAACUGCUGAUAGAGGCCGAGUCAAAGUGUCGUGACUGCUGAUGCAGAUCUUCAGCAUGGACUUUGAUGGAGAUACUCCUCUGAUGAGUCCUACUUCCAGAAGAUAGGAGUGAGAUGCGAUGGGACCUGACCAGAUGCUGAUGUUGGACUAGAAAAUUUAGUGAAAAACUAUUCUGUGCUGAAAGAACAGCUAUGCUUUGUCGGACUAGCACACCACGAGCGAUGGACUUGAAGGAUUUCAGUCAAUCAAGCUAGUUGUCGAAAAGGUAGUGUUCGCCGUCGACGGUGCUGCCAUUUGAGUUUAUGGCUCUGUCCAUGGAGGCUGCCUGGAAGUUUCUCUGUUUCCAUGUACGGUGUCGGUGUUCCAUGACAGCGGCCGUGACACGUGAUGUUCCUUGGUUAAGAUUGGUUUACUUUGGGUCUCACAUUAGGAGGACAGACACGGCGUGCAUUCAGUCUCAGAACCUGAAACUAACCUGACUGAGGCACAAGGAAGGAAGGGCCACCGUCCGAGGCGAUGCGUACAUAUAUACACCCAGGAGUCAGGACAGGACACAACAUCCGACGCGGCGUAUGUACUACACUGAGGACUCCCUCGUCACUGACAAAGACAAGAAAACCGGCAGCAUCCUCAGCCAGGUAGGUGUGAACCACACAGACGCUUACAACCAAAGCUAGCCGACGGCGCAUAAGCUACCUGCAAAAGAGAAGCCCUUCUUACAUCGACACCAUCUUAAUUUUUAUUCAGUUCAAUUUCCAAUUUUACUUCAGUUAAUUCUUAUUUUUAGUUUAGUCAGUUUCUUAUUUUAUUUUCCUUCAAUUUCUAAUUCUUUUUCAGUUCAGUUUCUAAUUUUACUAAAGUUCAUUUUCUAAUUCCAAACAGUUUGUGUAAAUUCCCAUCGAGCAGGUGUGCACGGCGAGCGGCUACUGAACUUGUGCGGCUGCUGCUUUUGGAUUGCCUAGGAAGCACAUCAUUAUAGAAGGCAAAAAUCUGUAACCUAUAUAAUUCAUGUGUGUUCUGACUUCUUGUUUCUCUAAAGCGGCCAAAUCCCGGUGCACCUGGUAGCUCAAACUUACACCAGAUGGCCAGUGACCAACUUCCCUGCCUCUACAAGCUCCUCGGGGAUGACUUGGUGGUAGCUGGGAUCCCCUAAAGCGGCCAAAUCCCGGUGCACCUGGGCGCCGCUCGUGAUCCCCUCUCCUUCAGCUCCACUUCGCGUCGUCGUCAGUCCACAGGAGUAGGGGCGGUGUGCCCAUCAACAAAAAAGAACAGAAGGUCAUCGAAGCGGCCGCCAGCUCUCCCGCGUGAUGCAGCAACUGAUGUUGUUCUCUUUCUCAUACAUGCGCGUGUGCAGCAGCAACCAUGACUCACUCACUCUCUCUCAUUUGCGCAUGCGACAUCUCACUCAUGUGUUGCAGCUCCUGGUUGGGCUCCUGGAUCGGUGUCUAUGUUGUGUGUGUGCAGUUCGACGUGAUUUGGUUGGACAGGAAGGGAGAAGCAACAGGGAGAGUACGGGUUGGCUGAUGAUGGCUGAUGACGAACCUGCUGCUGUCUUGCUCUAUAAUGGUCUCUGAUCCAAUGUAUUUUAAUUUCUCUGCGGUGUAGCUUGCUAUAAAAGAUGAAAUAUAAGAGUUCAUUGUGCAAAAACUUGUGGGAUCCAUGUAAGGUGAACGAGAAAGUAUAGUUAAAAAGUUUGAUA
This is a long non-coding RNA of Triticum aestivum (bread wheat), 2634 nucleotides long. RefSeq lists it as uncharacterized. The record is from RefSeq and is a predicted model, not a curated record. NCBI's taxonomy places the organism in Eukaryota, Viridiplantae, Streptophyta, Magnoliopsida, Poales, Poaceae. The transcript has 9 exons.